CCUAACCUAGCCACCUCUCCUCCUUCAGUCAUCACUCAACACUCAUCACGAUCAACAACCGAACCGCAUAGCCUAGCCGCGCCACCUGCCUUUCCUCUCUCUCCUCCUUCUUUCUUGGUUUCUCCCUCUCUGAUUCUCCUUCUUUCUCCGCCUCUCCUAGCCUAGUCAUCAGUCAUCACGAUCUCCAAGACUAGCCGCGCCGCCUGCCUCUCCUUUCUCUGAUUCUCCUUCUUUCUCCGCCUCUCCUAGACUUCUAGCCUAGUCAUCACAAUUGUCGAACGACCUCCACAAAAUCCGGCUUAGAGAGUCAGAGGCUUCUUACAUACAACGUGAUCUCGGCACUCGUUGAUUUGGUUUCUCCUUCUCUGAUUCUCCUUCUUUCGCCACCUAUCGCAGUCAUCACGACCGAACGACCUCUACAAAAUCACCGAGCUGCCAAGAGGUUAAAUCGACGAUUGUUCUAGUCUUCUAGCCUAGUCACUAGUUGCGAUUGUUCUGCUCUCAGUGCGAAUGUGCGAAGGAUCGUGCCACUCUUGUUAAGGCUCUGGAGACCUUUGUUGGAUAGCAUUCUGACAAAUUGGAAUCACCCGAGCUAAAGAAGGUUGGAAAAAUGGCUGCUAAAUUGGUGUAUUUGAAUUAGGACUUUCUAUUUCAUUGCAUAUUUGUAUUUUAAUUUGGACUUCGUAUUUAAAUUUGGACACUUUUUAUUUGAAUUGUAGCUUCAAUUGUUCUCGAUGAGUAUUUGAAUUUGGAUAUUAUGUAUUUUGAA
Rosa chinensis is the source of this 769-nucleotide long non-coding RNA. RefSeq lists it as uncharacterized. The transcript is spliced from 3 exons. The record is from RefSeq and is a predicted model, not a curated record. Lineage: Eukaryota; Viridiplantae; Streptophyta; Magnoliopsida; Rosales; Rosaceae.